CAGCGUUCUCAGGGCGGGGCGAAAUUCCCCACCGGCGGUAUCUGCGGGCAGAUGUCUUUGCAUCUGCACUGCAGCAGCCCGCGAGCGCCCGGGCCGUGCCAGCAGUGGUGGCGGCCCGGGGUCAGCAGAUCUGGUGAGAUGCCAGAGCCGACGGUCACAGUCCGGAUGAAAGAGAUCGCGA
Molecule: non-coding RNA, 181 nt
Filed under: Acidovorax sp.
Lineage: Bacteria; Pseudomonadati; Pseudomonadota; Betaproteobacteria; Burkholderiales; Comamonadaceae
Description: FMN sequence
Rfam family: FMN riboswitch aptamer (RFN element)
About the family: The RFN element is a highly conserved domain that is found frequently in the 5'-untranslated regions of prokaryotic mRNAs that encode for flavin mononucleotide (FMN) biosynthesis and transport proteins. This element is a metabolite-dependent riboswitch that directly binds FMN in the absence of proteins.
Source: RNAcentral